AAGCAUAUUAAUAAGCGGAGGAAAAGAAACUAACAAGGAUUCUCUUAGUAAGGGCGACUGAAGCGAGAAUAGCUCAAGAUGUUAAUCAAUGUGUUAUGCAUUGAAUUGUGGUCUUUUGAUAUUUGUGUUAAAGUGUGGAUGAAGUCUUCUGGAAAGGAGCGGCAAAGAGGGUGACACCCCCGUGAAUCUACGCUGUAUAACUUUUAUCAUUGAGUCGAGUUGCUUGGGAUUGCAGCUCUAAGUGGGUGGUAAAUUCCAUCUAAAGCUAAAUAUGGUUGGGAAACCGAUAGUGAACAAGUACCGUGAGGGAAAGAUGCAAAGAACUUUGAAAAGAGAGUUAAAGAGUACCUGAAAUUGCUGAAAGGGAAGCAAAGGAAACCAGUGAAUGUUAAAACAUAUUUGUUUUCUGGCUUGCUGGAAGACCGCUAUGCUUAACAAUGUCUUGGUUGGUUGGACUGAGGAAAAAUUUGUAGUUACUGUUAGUGAUCACAUAGUUUCUUGGUUUGACUGAGUUAAGGCUAAAUGGUUUUCUUUUCCCCGUCUUGAA
RNAcentral lists this ribosomal RNA (547 nucleotides) under Cymbella mexicana. Its description in RNAcentral is "eukaryotic LSU rRNA". It matches the Rfam family "Eukaryotic large subunit ribosomal RNA", at positions 36 to 658 of the family's 3401-position model. Lineage: Eukaryota; Bacillariophyta; Bacillariophyceae; Cymbellales; Cymbellaceae. The record is from RNAcentral.